UGGGGAAUAUUGCACAAUGGGCGAAAGCCUGAUGCAGCAAUGCCGCGUGUGUGAAGAAGGCCUGCGGGUUGUAAAGCACUUUCGGUAGGAAAGAUUAUGACGGUACCUACAGAAGAAGCACCGGCUAACUCCGUGCCAGCAGCCGCGGUAAUACGGAGGGUGCAAGCGUUAAUCGGAAUUACUGGGCGUAAAGCGCGUGUAGGCGGUCUUGUAAGUCGGAUGUGAAAGCCCCGGGCUCAACCUGGGAACUGCAUUCGAUACUGCUCGACUAGAGUAUGGAAGAGGGAAGCGGAAUUCCGGGUGUAGCGGUGAAAUGCGUAGAUAUCCGGAGGAACACCAGUGGCGAAGGCGGCUUCCUGGUCCAAUACUGACGCUGAGACGCGAAAGCGUGGGGAGCAAACAGG
Molecule: ribosomal RNA, 404 nt
Filed under: uncultured Gammaproteobacteria bacterium
Lineage: Bacteria; Pseudomonadati; Pseudomonadota; Gammaproteobacteria
Description: bacterial SSU rRNA
Rfam family: Bacterial small subunit ribosomal RNA
Source: RNAcentral